Non-coding RNA from Dicentrarchus labrax (European seabass), 633 nucleotides. The record is from the annotation of a RefSeq genome assembly. NCBI's taxonomy places the organism in Eukaryota, Metazoa, Chordata, Actinopteri, Moronidae.
ACUAUUUGUCAGAGUUGUGAGAGGAAGGAGGGAGGGAUUAAGGGAGGAGCAAAACUGAGACUCAAGUACAGAAAAGACAGAAACUUUCACAGUGGUGUUUCAUCCAAAAAACAGACAGAUUGUCUUUAUCUUUAAGAUGCUGUCAGUGAACUUCAGUCUGUUUGUGACUUUGUUUCUGCUCACAAUAAGAGGUGUCAGCUGUGAAGAACUCACUGCAGUCAAGAAACAAGAGUCCAGUUUAGAAGACAGCACUGUUACUCUGUCCUACACAUACUACAAACAAGCAACUGAUAGUGAUUAUUUCUUCUGGUAUCGACAAUAUCCAGGAAAACCACCAGAGUUCCUCAUCUCUCAUUCAGGAACAGGAACACCACUAUCUGGUCAACUCUCCAAACUGUCUUUUAAAGUGGGACAAAUGCAAAUGGAUCUGAAGAUCUCUGCUGCAGUGUCUGACUCUGCUGUGUACUACUGUGCUCUGCAGCCCACAGUGACAGGAAACACCAAAACUCUGUACAAAAACCUUUGGAGCAAAGACAACAGAAUACUCCACAACAUCCACUAGAGGGAGUCACACACUGUUAAACUUCAAUAGUAUGUGAUUAUACAAUCUAGAUUAACUGUACUAGUGAUAAG